This 598-nucleotide long non-coding RNA is filed under the name Brassica napus (rape). Its description in RNAcentral is "long non-coding RNA (BNAP_LNC025884)". The record is from RNAcentral. Lineage: Eukaryota; Viridiplantae; Streptophyta; Magnoliopsida; Brassicales; Brassicaceae.
AACCCUAAACCCUAAAUCUGAACUUAAAACAUCAACUCUAAACCCUAAAUCAUCAACUCUAAACCCUAAACCCUGAAACAUCAACUUUAAACCCUAAACCAGAAACAUCAACUCUAAACCCUAAACCCUAAACCUUCAAAUCUAAACCCUAAAACAUCAACUCUAAACCUUAAACGUAAACCCUAAACCCUAUAUUUUUCUAAAAUUCGAACCCUAAACUCCAAAACCCUAAACCUUCAAAUCUAAACCCUAAAACAUCAAUUCUAAGGUUUUAGGGUCUAGAGUUUAGGGUUUAGAGUUGAUGUUUUAGGGUUUAGGGAUAAUAUUUUGGGGUUUAGAAUUGAAGUUUAUGGUUUAGGGUUUAGAGUUGAUGUUUUAGGGUUUUGAGUCGUAGGUUUAGGGUUUAGGGUUUAGGGUUUAGAUGUGAUGUUUCGGGUUUAGUAUUGAUGUUUCAGGGUUCAGGGUUCAGGGUUCGUAUUUCAAAAAAAGAAGAGUUUAAGAUUGAUGGCUUAGGGUUUAAAGUUGAGUUUUAGGGUUUAGGGUUUGAAUUUCGAAAUAGUAUAAUUCAAAAAAAAUUAUAAAAAUCUAAAUAAAUUAU